CAAGUGACCCCGGUCUAACCACCGGGAUGUUCAUAACCCUUUGUUGUCCGACUCUGUUGCCUCCGGGGCGACCCUGCCUUCGGGUGGGGGCUCCGGGUGGACACUUCAAACUCUUGCGUAACUUUGCAGUCUGAGUAAACUUAAUUAAUAAAUUA
RNAcentral lists this unclassified non-coding RNA (155 nucleotides) under soil metagenome. RNAcentral's name for it is "partial internal transcribed spacer 1". The record is from RNAcentral. RNAcentral also lists the same sequence under 1 other name.